Molecule: long non-coding RNA, 782 nt
Organism: Cryptotermes secundus
Lineage: Eukaryota; Metazoa; Arthropoda; Insecta; Blattodea; Kalotermitidae
Exons: 4
Source: RefSeq, a predicted model, not a curated record
UAUUUCAUUAACUUUGAUCAAAGUUCAAAAUUAAUUCUGUUUUUAUUCUUGUAGUUUAAUGGCACUCAGCAUACGAGAGCCGUGUGAUGUUGAGUAUAAAUUAUUUUAUGAGUUCAAUAGUUUUGGUGUUUGUACAAAAUUAUUAGGAGCUGCAUUAGAAAUUCCCGAAAGAUCGAUCACCAUCGAUCCAGCAAUCAUCACUAUUAUUGAUAUCCAAAAUGGCGGUAUGUUCUGUGGUUAAUGGUGGUAACCCUCAAGUUUUCAUCAAAGAUAGUCAUGAAAUAAGUGAGGUAAAGAGUGCUUGUUGUCAAAAAUUUAAAGUAGAACUCAGAUCAGCACAAAAAAUUAUUGAACUGCUACAAGAAGAGAUAAACACGCCCAGUCGUACCCGCCAGAGGAGACACUGUCCAACAUCAAGAUUGAGCCCGAUGACAGCGAACUGGAGCUACAGAUAGCCCUCAAGAAAGCACAGAGACUGAAGCUGCAGGAGGCUGUUACAGAACCAAAGAACAGUGUAGAAAAGGUGGCAGAGUCAGUACUGGAGAGAAGCUCAGGAGGAAACACGGAAGGUGGUUCCAUUGUGCUGAAUGCUACAGCAUAAUUCUGCCAUACGUUGGGUGACAUUCCCGCUUAUGGUCUGGCUGGCAACAGGGAUGAGGACGUUCAGGAACUACUUGACUUUGAGAGGGAAAUGAUUGAAGAGAAGAAACCUCAGGAAGAAGAAGGCAAACGUGGAGCUUGGAAUGAAGUUGAGAUUGGUGAGUCAUUAGCAGAUUCUUUAU